GAUGAACGCUGGCGGUAUGCCUAACACAUGCAAGUCGUACGAGGGUUUUUAACUCUAGUGGCGGACGGGUGAGUAACACGUGAGAAUUUGCCUUUAGGAGGGGGAUAACAAUCGGAAACGAAUGCUAAUACCCCAUAUGCUUUCGAGUGAAAUGGAUUUAUCCGCCUAAAGAGAAGCUCGCGGCUGAUUAGCUUGUUGGUAAGGUAAGAGCUUACCAAGGCGACGAUCAGUAUCUGGUUUGAGAGGACGAUCAGACACACUGGAACUGAGACACGGUCCAGACUCCUACGGGAGGCAGCAGUGGGAAUUUUCCGCAAUGGGCGAAAGCCUGACGGAGCAAUACCGCGUGAGGGAAGACUGCCUAUGGGUUGUAAACCUCUUUUUCAGGGAGGAAUAAAAUGACGUGUACCUGAAGAAUAAGCAUCGGCUAACUCCGUG
This 438-nucleotide ribosomal RNA is filed under the name uncultured bacterium. RNAcentral describes it as "bacterial SSU rRNA". It matches the Rfam family "Bacterial small subunit ribosomal RNA", at positions 28 to 507 of the family's 1533-position model. The record is from RNAcentral.